RNAcentral lists this ribosomal RNA (396 nucleotides) under Triticum aestivum (bread wheat). RNAcentral describes it as "partial small subunit ribosomal RNA". Lineage: Eukaryota; Viridiplantae; Streptophyta; Magnoliopsida; Poales; Poaceae. The record is from RNAcentral.
AUGGGACGCACCGCCUUGGUCAAGUCGGUGCUUGCCUCCCAAGCCAUAUACUUCAUCACUACGCUCGUCGUCCCCACAAGCACCCUCAAAAAUCUCAACAAGCUUGAGCGAGCGUUCCUUUGGGAGGGAACAGACAAGACCACCGGGGCCAAAUGCAAGGUUAAUUGGGACACCGUUUGCCGCCCAAUUGCCAAUGGGGGUCUUGGAGUGCUAAACACGGAGAAAUUCGCUAGGGCACUGAGGAUUCGUUGGAUUUGGUUUGAGUGGAAGGAGCCAACUAAGAUGUGGGUUGGCAUGGGCAAUCCGUGCGAUGACGCAGACUACAACUUCUUCUAUGCCUCCUCAACUAUUAUCGUGGGAAAUGGCGCGCGCGCCCCCUUUUGGGACUCUCUGUGG